This 484-nucleotide ribosomal RNA is filed under the name uncultured bacterium. RNAcentral describes it as "partial 16S ribosomal RNA". It matches the Rfam family "Bacterial small subunit ribosomal RNA", at positions 30 to 507 of the family's 1533-position model. The record is from RNAcentral.
AUUGAACGCUGGCGGCAGGCCUAACACAUGCAAGUCGAGCGGAUGAAGGGAGCUUGCUCCUGGAUUCAGCGGCGGACGGGUGAGUAAUGCCUAGGAAUCUGCCUGGUAGUGGGGGAUAACGUCCGGAAACGGGCGCUAAUACCGCAUACGUCCUGAGGGAGAAAGUGGGGGAUCUUCGGACCUCACGCUAUCAGAUGAGCCUAGGUCGGAUUAGAUAGUUGGUGGGGUAAAGGCCUACCAAGGCGACGAUCCGUAACUGGUCUGAGAGGAUGAUCAGUCACACUGGAAAUGAGAAACGGCCCAGACUGCUACGGGAGUCAGCAGUGGGGAAUAUUGGACAAUGGGCGAAAGACUGAUCCAGCCAUGCGGCGUGUGUGAAGAAGGUCUUCGGAUUGUAAAGCACUUUAAGUUGGGAGGAAGGGCAGUAAGUUAAUACCUUGCUGUUUUGACGUGACCAACAGAAUAAGCACCGGCUAACUUCGUG